AUGAAACUUUCUUCGUUUUUUGUGCUCAUUCCUCUUUUUAUCAGCGGCGUUUCUGGGAAACUGAUUCAAGCCGCUGCAGGAGAUGAUGUAAAGGUUCCCCUCACAGAGGAGUGCAUGAAAGGAAGAGGCACGCUGAAACGUCGCCUGCAGGACAACAGCCUUCAAUCAGUCGGGGAUCUCGACGGCAGCUGGAAGCCGGCUCCAGGGCGAGGAUGCCAUCCUCCCGUGCCGCUCCAUCACAGCAGGUCAGUGGGUGAAGUCUGUGCGCUGGAGGAGAGAUGGAGAGGUGGUGCUGGAUGUCCGGUCGGGGAAAACCACAUAUGGGAACGGCUUUGAUGAAAGCCGGUGUUGUGCCCAAAAGUGAUCGUCUGCCAGAAACUGAUUGCCGUCCGCGGGAGCGCGCACAGCUGCUUAAAGCUGCAGCGCCCGGAUUAAGUGCGUUGCCAGCUACUUCCGUGCAACUGACAUAACGUGGGGGAAACAACCCAAAGACAUUAAUGCCUUUCUUAUUAGGCAAAGGUCUGCAUUUAUGGAACUUUAACGUUUAUAUAACCGAAUUAUGACGUUUAUCAGAAGGUUGCUUUCAGUGUGUAGCGCAGUCACGAAUGACUACACGCAUCACGAUGGAAUAAUUAAUGCCCACAGGUUCAGUAUCUCUACUCUCGUUGUUCAUAUUUGAUAUAAGACUGUCGAAUAGUAGUUAAAACAAUAAAGACCUAUUGUACCAGUAUCACCAUGACUCUGUCUUGUUUGUUCAGAAUAACGACUGAGAACAUGGCAUUUUAGCGCUACCGAAAAGUCAUUGUGGCCUAUAACUUGUCACUGAAACAAUAUUUCAGCUUCAAACUUGUUGGAUAUAUUCCCGAAUGGUUACACGUGAUAUAUUAUAUCCCAAAAACUCUCCAAGAACUGCUGAAUACCUUUUAAAAGAACAUUAAUACCGAUAAUAUGUAAUUUUCAACCUGCCAAAAAGUGAUUGUGGCCUAUAUCUUGUCACUGAAACAAUAUUUCUGCUUCAAACCUGUUGGAUAUAAUCCAAAAGGAUCAUAUGUGACACAUUAUAUCCCAAUCAGUCUCUAAGAAAUGCAGAAUAACUUUUAAAGGAACAAUAAUACUCAUAAUGUGCCAUUUUCGACCUGCCAAAAAGUGAUUGUGGCCUAUAUCUUGUCACUCAAACAAUAUUUCUGCUUCACAAUUGUUGGGUAUCAUCCGAAAGGAUCAUAUGUGGCACAUCAUAUCCCAAACAGUCUCUAAGAAAUGCAGAAUAACUUUUAAAGGAACAAUAAUACCGAUAAUAUGCCAUUUUUGACCUGCCAAAAAGUGAUUGCUGCCUAUAUCUUGUCACUGAAACAAUAUAUCUAUUUCAAACUUGCAGGAUUUCAUUCAGAAGUGUUAAAUGUGACAUAUUAUAUCCCACACAGUCUCUAAGAAAUGCAGAAUAACUUUUAAAAUAACAUUAAUACCGAUAAUAUGUCAUUUUCGACCUGCCAAAAAGUGAUUGUGGCCUAUAACUUGUCACUGAAACAAUAUUUCUGCUUCAAACCUGUUGGAUAUAAUCCAAAAGGAUCAUAUGUGACACAUUAUAUCCCAAUCAGUCUCUAAGAAAUGCAGAAUAACUUUUGAAGGAACAAUAAUACCGAUAAUAUGCCAUUUUUGACCUGCCAAAAAGUGAUUGCUGCCUAUUUCUUGUCAGUGAAACAAUAUUUCUGCUUCACAAUUGUUGGGUAUCAUCCAAAAGGAUCAUAUGUGGCACAUCAUAUCCCAAACAGUCUCUAAGAAAUGCAGAAUAACUUUUAAAGGAACAAUAAUACUCAUAAUGUGCCAUUUUCGACCUGCCAAAAAGUGAUUGUGGCCUAUAUCUUGUCACUCAAACAAUAUUUCUGCUUCAAACCUGUUGGAUAUAAUCCAAAAGGAUCAUCUGUGACACAUUAUAUCCCAGUCAGUCUCUAAGAAAUGCAGAAUAACUUUUAAAGGAACAAUAAUACCAAUAAUGUGCCAUUUUCAACCUGCCAAAAAGUGAUUGUGGCCUAUAUCUUGUCACUGAAACAAUAUUUCUGCUUCAAACCUGUUGGAUAUAAUCCAAAAGGAUCAUAUGUGACACAUUAUAUCCCAAUCAGUCUCUAAGAAAUGCAGAAUAACUUUUAAAGGAACAAUAAUACUCAUAAUGUGCCAUUUUUGACCUGCCAAAAAGUGAUUGUGGCCUAUAUCUUGUCACUCAAACAAUAUUUCUGCAUCAAACUUGUUGGGUAUCAUCCAAAAGGGUCAUAUGUGACACAUUAUAUCUCAAACAGUCUCAAAGGACUGUUGAAUAACUUUUAAAGGAUCAGUAAUACCCAUAAUAUGCCAUUUUCGACCUGCCAAAAAAUGAUUGUGGACCAUAACUUGUCACUGAAAUACUAUUUCUGCUUCAAACUUGGUGGAUGUCAUUCAGAAGGGUCAUAUGUCAAAUAUUACAUCUCAAACAGUCCCUCAGAACUGCUAAAUAACCAUUAAGGGAACAAUGAAACUGACAAUAUGCAAUUUUCAACCUGCCAAAAAGUGAUUGUGGCCUAUAUGUUGUCAGCGAAACAAUAUUUAUUAGGCACAGAAUGACACGACAUUUAUUUUUAAAAAUAAAAAUUAACGAUUUUUAGAUUGUAUACAUUGUCUUAUCUAAAUAUAAGGAGAAUUUCACGUUUUGUAAGGUUUUUAUUCAUUCUUUCAUAAAAUAUUUCUGAUGUUUUAGAAUAUUAUUUUUUCGUUUCCCUUUAAAAAAUGUUUUUCCGAUUUAAAUUUACUCAACAUCCUGUUGUUUUGCUUAGAGCUCAAUUGGUAGGCCUAAAGUGCUUCAAUUAGCAGAGUGCAAGCAAAGCGUUACAGAGUCAUGGACCCCACUCUUUAUGCCGAUAUUCUCUCGUUUAAAACCAAUGGAACCUUGCCCAGUGGGUUUUCCACCACACAAAAGUCUAAUUUUCGUCGAAAGGCAAAGAACUUUGAGGUUCAAGGUGAGUUUGUCGAAUGUUUUAUGUAAUUUUCAACCUUCCACUGUUUGCCAAAUUUGAGUUUAAUUAACAGCUGCGCACAACAGCGAACAAAAGUAGGGCAUCCUAGUUACGUCUCUUGAGGAAUACAUAAUAUUUCUCCUAAAACAUGUGUGUGUUCUAAUUCCCAAGUGACCAACAUCAUCGCUAUCACCGCCAUUACUAGGUGUGACGGUGUUGUAACUAGUACUGGCUAGCGUUAGAAGUUCGUAGUGUUUACAACUUAAUUCUGUUUGAAAAAUUAAAAUGGGGAUUUUGUUUAUGACACCAACAACAUAUUAUUGCUGUCUUGUAAUUUUUCUAAAAUGAAAAACAUAAUUUGACAAAAGGGGAAAAUUUAGAAAAAAAAAAGGAAUUUAUAUCGUGAGGUCACGUGUUCUGUUCGCGUGUUGUUGUUGUUUUAAUUUUGCUGUGCUAAUACUAUCCGUGUCAAUAAUACAUCUGUCGCUGUCCCUUAAUGAGGUUUUUAUUUUAAAAAAAUAUCCCUGCUUUAGAUUUUUAAAUGCGUGCACUGACUCAUAACUGUAAUUCAUAAUGAACUAUGGUGUGUUGUUCAGGAAAUAUUUAUAAUUAACCAUUAACUCUUUGGUGUGGUACAUCGAUAUUUUUGAAAUAAUUCUAUUUACACAUACACAUCAUAUGUUUUUGACCAUGUUACAGUACUGUAAUAAUUCCACAUUUAUGACUAUAUUAUAGCAGAUUAAAACUACUCAUGGAUUUCUUUUAUUUCUUACAGAUGGCGAGUUGUACUACAUAAGGUACAAAGGCACAAAUCAAUGCAUUAAGGCAAAAGUGCUGUGUGGGCCCAACAAAGCCAAUGAAGUUUUUCUAGACUUUCAUGCCAGCAGUGGUGGUUCACACUGUGGCCAGAAAAAAACAAGAGAGGCAAUCUCAAAAAGAUUUUAUUGGCCUGGAAUGUCAGAGGACAUUAAUUUAUGGGUCUGUAUACAACUUGAUUAUACAUGCACAUUGUUUAUCUCGCAAAAUGUCUUUUAUUGUCUUAAAUUUCAAGUUAACCAAUGUACUAGUUAGCUGUCUAUUUAGUAUAGGUUUUGUAUCAGAAAACAAUUAAAAGUCUUUUUAUUGAGAGUUAUAUGAUUUAAAUUAUUAUAC
This 4133-nucleotide long non-coding RNA is filed under the name Oreochromis niloticus (Nile tilapia). RNAcentral describes it as "lncRNA (ENSONIG00000041768.1)". Lineage: Eukaryota; Metazoa; Chordata; Actinopteri; Cichliformes; Cichlidae. The record is from RNAcentral.